Molecule: long non-coding RNA, 1147 nt
Organism: Xenia sp. Carnegie-2017
Lineage: Eukaryota; Metazoa; Cnidaria; Anthozoa; Malacalcyonacea; Xeniidae
Exons: 2
Source: RefSeq, a predicted model, not a curated record
CAAGUCUCUAUAUAUUCUCUACUUUAAGUCUAUACUUAUUGAUAUAUGUAAGUGUUAAUUUCCUACUAUUACGUAAAAUGUCAAGUCUGUUUAUUUUCUCAAAUACAGUUGUUUGGAGAAUACAAACAAUUUAAUCCCCUACGUGCAGAAAAUCAAUCUUGCAGAAAGAACUCUUCAAACAGCUGAAUGCAGACGGAAGUGCGUUGACAGCUCGUUUUUGCUAAAAACAGUAUAUAUAUAAGAAGAGAACAUGAAAGAAGAUCUCAUUCAGACUCGUACCUUAUUACGAGAGCGCAAACAACAUUCGGUAAUAAUUUAACUUGACGCGUAAAUUGAUCAUUGGUUUGUUUGUUUGCAUGCAUAUAGCAUGUAAAAUUGGUGUCUACUCUUUGUGCUGUGAUCAACCAUCUUGAAUUUGGUUGAAACGAAGAAGAAUGUUUUCGAAACACUUUGUGCGCUGGGAAACACGCUUGCUUCUGGUUGUUGAAGAGAUAUUAAAAACGAGGUUGAUUCGCUUGAGGAUGAAUACAAAGUCUUGUGGCUUAAAGUAAAAGGGUAAACAUGUUAUGUUCAAAGAAUGUUUUUAAAUCGUGACUUCGGCUUUAAAUCAAUACUCAAAAGAAUUGAAUUUUUAUUUCUUGAGGUUGCAGGAAGUCAAAGCCUUUAGGUAUAAAGGACAAGACGAUACCUAACAACACAAUAAAUGCAUCAUCCGUAUGGUCACGCUAUCCACCAUACUAUAUAAGACCAGGGCAAAGUAAUUGCUGGUAUGCACAAUCUGGCAAGGAAAAAGUUCUUGGAUUCAGGUUGACCUUGGAAAAGUGAAAAGAGUCACUGGAAUAUCAACACAGGGUGCAGCAGCGGAUGGACGCAAACCUAUUCACUGUCUUCCAGCAAUAAUUGACAAAACUGGUAUGAAUACAAGGAGAUUGGCGUAACAAAGCUUUUCGAUGGAAAUGUUGAUUCUACAACCAUGUUGAAAAAUUAUUUUGACCAAUUAGAGCACGAUACGUCCGAUGGUAUCCGCUUUCGUGGUAUUCUUUUUAUCCUUUAAUACGUAUGGAACUUUAUGGUUGUUAGUUAAAUUUUCAACAUAUCUUUUAGGCUACUGAAGAAGUUUCCUUAAAUAAAAUUUGAUUUCUUCAAA